Long non-coding RNA from Ipomoea nil (Japanese morning glory), 285 nucleotides. RefSeq lists it as uncharacterized. The transcript has 3 exons. NCBI's taxonomy places the organism in Eukaryota, Viridiplantae, Streptophyta, Magnoliopsida, Solanales, Convolvulaceae. The record is from RefSeq and is a predicted model, not a curated record.
GAAUCUCGUCGCCGCUGGCCUCGGGGUCGUCAUCACCAGGACGAAAUCAGAUCUGGGAGAUCAGCACCAGGGUCAUUGUCAGCGACGGGGGGUUUGGCAGCGCUAUCACCAACGCCAACGGUGGCUGAGGCAGGCGUUGUGUCGACGAUGGCGGUGGAGCGUGGCAGGGGCGUCGACGGCCAGCAGAGAAGACAGAUCUGAGAGAGUGAGAGUCAGAGUCAGCAGUUGUGGCGGUGGAGGCGGUAGUUGUGUCGGGUGAGAGUGAGAGAAAAAGGGAGAGGCAGA